Molecule: unclassified non-coding RNA, 346 nt
Filed under: soil metagenome
Description: partial contains 5.8S ribosomal RNA, internal transcribed spacer 2, and large subunit ribosomal RNA
Rfam family: 5.8S ribosomal RNA (bases 1-120)
Source: RNAcentral
GAUGAAGAACGUAGCGAAAUGCGAUAAGUAAUGUGAAUUGCAGAAUUCCGUGAAUCAUCGAAUCUUUGAACGCACAUUGCGCCCUCUGGUAUUCCGGGGGGCAUGCCUGUCCGAGCGUCAUUUGCAACCCUCAAGCCCGGCUUGUGUGAUGGGUGCCGUCCCCUACGGGACGCGCCCCGAAGGCAAUGGCGGCGUCGCGGUUAUCCGAUCAGCCAAAGUGUAUGGGGCUUUGUCACUCACUUUACGGCCCGGACCGGCGCCAGUCCGAAUCAAUCUUUUUUCUAAAGUUGACCUCGGAUCAGGUAGGGAUACCCGCUGAACUUAAGCAUAUCAAUAAGCGGAGGGA